AGUGAACGCUGGCGGUAGGCCUAACACAUGCAAGUCGAACGGCAGCACAGUAAGAGCUUGCUCUUACGGGUGGCGAGUGGCGGACGGGUGAGGAAUACAUCGGAAUCUACUUUUUCGUGGGGGAUAACGUAGGGAAACUUACGCUAAUACCGCAUACGACCUACGGGUGAAAGCAGGGGAUCUUCGGACCUUGCGCGAUUGAAUGAGCCGAUGUCGGAUUAGCUAGUUGGCGGGGUAAAGGCCCACCAAGGCGACGAUCCGUAGCUGGUCUGAGAGGAUGAUCAGCCACACUGGAACUGAGACACGGUCCAGACUCCUACGGGAGGCAGCAGUGGGGAAUAUUGGACAAUGGGCGCAAGCCUGAUCCAGCCAUACCGCGUGGGUGAAGAAGGCCUUCGGGUUGUAAAGCCCUUUUGUUGGGAAAGAAAAGCAGCAGGUUAAUACCCCGCUGUCCUGACGGUACCCAAAGAAUAAGCAGCGGCUAACUUCGUG
This 492-nucleotide ribosomal RNA is filed under the name uncultured bacterium. RNAcentral describes it as "partial 16S ribosomal RNA". It matches the Rfam family "Bacterial small subunit ribosomal RNA", at positions 29 to 507 of the family's 1533-position model. The record is from RNAcentral.